GACGAACGCUGGCGGCGUGCUUAACACAUGCAAGUCGAACGGAAAGGCCCUGCUUUUGUGGGGUGCUCGAGUGGCGAACGGGUGAGUAACACGUGAGUAACCUGCCCUUGACUUUGGGAUAACUUCAGGAAACUGGGGCUAAUACCGGAUAGGAGCUCCUGCUGCAUGGUGGGGGUUGGAAAGUUUCGGCGGUUGGGGAUGGACUCGCGGCUUAUCAGCUUGUUGGUGGGGUAGUGGCUUACCAAGGCUUUGACGGGUAGCCGGCCUGAGAGGGUGACCGGCCACAUGGGGACUGAGAUACGGCCCAGACUCCUACGGGAGGAAGCAGUGGGGAAUAUUGCACAAUGGGCGGAAGCCUGAUGCAGCAACGCCGCGUGCGGGAUGACGGCCUUCGGGUUGAAAACCGCUUUCGCCUGUGACGAAGCGUGAGUGACGGUAAUGGGUAAUGAAGCACCGGCUAACUACG
Molecule: ribosomal RNA, 466 nt
Filed under: uncultured bacterium
Lineage: Bacteria
Description: partial 16S ribosomal RNA
Rfam family: Bacterial small subunit ribosomal RNA
Source: RNAcentral